Molecule: long non-coding RNA, 2241 nt
Organism: Spinacia oleracea (spinach)
Lineage: Eukaryota; Viridiplantae; Streptophyta; Magnoliopsida; Caryophyllales; Amaranthaceae
Exons: 2
Source: RefSeq, a predicted model, not a curated record
ACAUCAAAACUGUAGACACCUAAUUUGUGUCUCCCCUUUGGGAUGAUGACGGUACCAUUAUCCUUGUUAGGCGAUUGGAGUAACUCCAGGCGGAAAUCCCAAUUACUAAGAGCACCUCCAACAUCCAAAGUCUAAAAUCCAAUCCCCGAGGUCGUUCCCCUCCCGGAACUCGGUACAAAAUACAACUUCCAAAAUCCAAUUUCAAAAUCCAAGUUCAAACUAAACUAGUAGACCAUCCCAUUGGUUUUAGUAGGCCUUUUCCACUCAAAAUCAUAUAAGGCAAGUCAAAUUCGGGCGCCGACCCACAAAACCGAGCAUGCCGGGCCCCGUCCCGUAAAACCGGAAUUCAAAAACCCGAGAAAGGCUUGUUUUUAGACGCAAAUUCAAGUCUUAACCUCCAAGAAAACACUACACGCCAAACAUCUUACUAUUCGUACGAAGGUACACCCAUACAAGACAAAUCAAGGACGGCAUCUUUCCGUCCUUUUGGCGGCAUUCAAGCCACCUCAGCAGCGCGCAGCGCUGGCCUGGUGUAAUACCUCGUAUUUUUAAAAUAUUUAUAAGUAUAUAUAUUAUUAUAUUUAUAAAGAAUUUUACGAUUUAUUAACAUUUAAAUAAUAUUUAAAUGUAUUUUAUUUAAUGUAUUUUAAUUAAUUAGAAUAUUUAUUAUUUUAAUUAAUUACGAAACGAAUUUAAUUCUUGAGUUGGGAAAUUAAAUGAGUUGCAAAUGAUUUUUAAAGGCUUCGGGUUUUAAAUGAAAAGUCCAUUUCGUUUUACUAAUCGAGCCCAAUCAAAAGUAUUUAAUUCAAGUCCUAAGCUAGCCCAAUCAUUUAAUUCCCUAAGCCCAAUUCUAAUUUCCUAAGCCUAACCCAUUAACAAUAAGGAGCCUAUAAAUAAGACUCCUCAUCAUUAAUUGACCCCCUAUUUUGUCAUAAACCCUUUUCUCUCUUUCUUGCCCAACACUCCUCCUUCUUUCUCUCCCUUUUGUUCGACCGGCUCACUCGGCCCGUAAACACGAGCCUCGUGUUGUUGGGUCGCUGUUGCCCCCUUGUGCCCUCGUGUGCCCUCGCGCGCCAGCGCCCUCACUCCCUCUCUCGCCCUUCGCGCGCCAGCGCCCGCACUCCCUCGCUCGCUCUCUCGCGCCAGCGCGCUGUCCCUCUUGUCUCUCGCCCGCAGCCGCAGCGUGCCCUUGUGCCUGCGCUGCUACUUGCCUUGUUGUUGCUCGCGUGCUCAGCGCACGCCCUCGCUCUUGCCCCUCCUCUCGCGCGCGCGCCCCAGCGUGCCAUGCGCCCUGUCCCGCGCGCAAGCGCUGCUGCGCCCUUCGCCCCUGCGCGCACACACGCGUGCGUGUGUGUGUUGUUCGUGCUCGUAAUUCAAUUCCUUUUCGCCCAAUCACUCUAAUUCGUGGUUGUUCCGUGCUAUAGGCCGGAUUGGUAUAAUUCUCUUCUUCCUUACCUAUUCUAUUUAAAUUUCGUAUUUUAAAUUAUUAUAUUAAUAUUGUUUUGAGUAAUUAAAAUGCUGGGAACCGGUUAUGAAUACCGUGGUUUGAGGAUUUGCGUGUUGUGAUUCGUUAGGUUUGUUUUAAUUAUUAAAGGAUGAAUUUUUAGAUUUUUUUAUUGAAUAAAGCAUUGAUUUUUAUGAUAAUAAACUAGUGUUAUUGGGGUUUUCAAGUUAGGGUUUCAACCUACACCUAAUGAGUCAAUUGAUUAGCAUAGUUAGGUGAUGAUUUUAAUUAUGAUAAUCAAUUAUAUUUUUAGAUUUGAAUAAAGGUUAAAGUGUCGAUUUGUAUUGAUUUUAAAGGCGGAAAAAGUAUGUUUUCGUACUAAGGAUUGAUUUUGCAAAUUGAGACGUUUUGAUUAUUGAAAAACGAUUGAAUUCUAAAGUUUAAAGGAGGUUUUAAAUUUUAUAAAGUUGCUGGAAAUUUAAUGAACAUGGAAAUAAUUUAAGUUUCAUUAUUUUGAUGAUAGGAGGUGAUUUCUAGUUGAGUGCUCGUUAUUGCAAAGUGGCCCCUACGCUUAGGUAUUCAGGAAUAAUAUAGCAGGUUGGUAGAUCGGAAUCAUGUGGCUUGGGAUGAUCGAGAGAGUUGCAUGUUUUCGUAUUUUGAACUAUUUAACUUUACUUUAAUUAUGUUUGAAACGUUUGAAUUAUUUAUACUUUGGGUUUUGGGCCAUUAUGGUUCCAAAUUGUAGGAGGCCUCAAUAUUUCAUUAAUUAUGGUUUUUAAAAGUUAGUUGACAUUUAA